RNAcentral lists this ribosomal RNA (143 nucleotides) under Echinococcus multilocularis. RNAcentral's name for it is "partial small subunit ribosomal RNA". The record is from RNAcentral. Lineage: Eukaryota; Metazoa; Platyhelminthes; Cestoda; Cyclophyllidea; Taeniidae.
UCCUGUGAGUGAUUCUUGUUAGGGGAAGAUGCAUAGUAAAGGAUGGUCCACCCAUUAAUUUACUCUUUUUAUGUUGGUGUAAGUACUGGCUUAAUAUUAUUGUCUAGUAAUGUAAGUUUGUGUAGUUUUAUUUAACGCUAAGU